CCAAAUUGUAGUGCGGGGUUGAAGACCUG
Molecule: non-coding RNA, 29 nt
Filed under: Mus musculus (house mouse)
Lineage: Eukaryota; Metazoa; Chordata; Mammalia; Rodentia; Muridae
Source: RNAcentral